This 2161-nucleotide ribosomal RNA is filed under the name bovine gut metagenome. RNAcentral describes it as "bacterial LSU rRNA". It matches the Rfam family "Bacterial large subunit ribosomal RNA", at positions 3 to 2309 of the family's 2925-position model. The record is from RNAcentral.
UCAAGAUACAAAGAGCGUAGGGUGGAUGCCUUGGCACUAAGAGCCGAUGAAAGACGUGAUAAGCUGCGAUAAGCUACGGUGAGGAGCAAAUAUCCUUUGACCCGUAGAUUUCUGAAUGGGGAAACCUAGCAGAGAAAACCUCUGUUACUGUAUGGUGAAUACAUAGCCAUACAGAGGGAACCCGGGGAACUGAAACAUCUAAGUACCCGGAGGAAGAGAAAGAAAAUUCGAUUUCCUGAGUAGCGGCGAGCGAAAUGGAAAGAGCCUAAACCAGAGUGCGUGCAUUCUGGGGUAAUGGACUGCAAUAUGUGAGCAUUAAGCUAGAAGAAUGGUUUUGGGAAAGCCAGCCAAAGAGAGUGAAAGCCUCGUAUUCGAAAGUGGCGUGCAGCUAGCAGUAUCCGGAGUACCACGAGACACGAGAAACCUUGUGGGAAGUCGGGGGGACCACCCCCCAAGGCUAAAUACUACUUAGUGACCGAUAGCGCAUAGUACUGUGAAGGAAAGGUGAAAAGAACCCCGGGAGGGGAGUGAAAGAGAACCUGAAACCCUAUGUUUACAAACUGUCGAAGCACGUUAAUGUGCGACGGCGUACUUUUUGUAGAACGGUCCGGCGAGUUAUUGUUACUGGCGAGGUUAAUCACAUAAAGUGAGGAGCCGAAGGGAAACCAAGUGUUAAUAGCGCGUAUAGUCAGUGAGAAUAGACCCGAAACCGGGUGAUCUACCCAUGUCCAGGUUGAAGUUGCCGUAAAAGGCAAUGGAGGACCGAACACACAUCCGUUGAAAAGGGUGGUGAUGAGGUGUGGGUAGGGGAGAAAUUCCAAUCGAACCCGGAGAUAGCUGGUUCUCCUCGAAAUAGCUUUAGGGCUAGCCUCGGUUUAGUCUAAUGGAGGUAGAGCACUGAAUAUCCUAGGGGGCGUCAAAGCUUACCGAAGAUUAUCAAACUCCGAAUGCCAUAUAGAUGAUGACCGGGAGUCAGACUACACGAGAUAAGUUGGGUAGUCAAAAGGGAAAGAGCCCAGACCACCAGCUAAGGUCCCAAAGUGCGUGUUAAGUGGAAAAGGAUGUGGGAUUUCAAAGACAACCAGGAUGUUGGCUCAGAAGCAGCCAUACAUUAAAAGAGUGCGUAAUAGCUCACUGGUCGAGAGGUCCUGCGCCGAAAAUGUCCGGGGCUAAAACACGACACCGAAGCUGUGGAAUGUGUAAACAUUGGUAGAGGAGCAUUCUUAAUUGGAUGAAGCAGUACCGAAAGGAGCUGUGGACGAUUAAGAAGAGAGAAUGCCGGAAUGAGUAGCGAGAUAGAAGUGAGAAUCUUCUAGGCCGAAUAUCCAAGGUUUCCAGAGUAAAGCUGAUCUGCUCUGGGUAAGUCGGGACCUAAGGCGAGGACGAGAGUCGUAGUCGAUGGACAACAGGUUGAAAUUCCUGUACCUUGAAUAAACAGAACUGUGGGGACGCAGAGAGAAAGCCAGACCGGGAGAUGGAUUUCCGGACAAGCGAGGUAUCGGUGAGGUAGGAAAAACCGCCUCAUAACGAGAAUACGUGAUGUGGACCGAAAUAUAAGUAGGGAAGCUGGUGAGCUAGCUGCCAAGAAAAGCCGCUAUUGUUUUAUUCAAGCCCGUACCGUAAACCGACACAGGUGGAUGAGGAGAGAAUCCUAAGGCCGGCGGGAGAAGCAUUGUUAAGGAACUCGGCAAAAUGACCCCGUAACUUCGGGAGAAGGGGUGCCUACGCGAGUAGGCCGCAGAGAAUUGGCCCAAGCAACUGUUUAGCAAAAACACAGGUCUAUGCAAAACCGUAAGGUGAAGUAUAUGGGCUGACGCCUGCCCGGUGCUGGAAGGUUAAGAGGAGAGCUUAGCGCAAGCGAAGGUUUGAAUUUAAGCCCCAGUAAACGGCGGCCGUAACUAUAACGGUCCUAAGGUAGCGAAAUUCCUUGUCGGGUAAGUUCCGACCNNGCUUUACUCUAGUUUGAUACUGGGAUUCGGUAUUGUAUGUACAGGAUAGGUGGGAGACUAAGAAUUGGGAACGCCAGUUUCCAAGGAGUCGAUGUUGGGAUACCACCCUUGCAGUAUUGGAUUUCUAACAUUCAGCCGUUAUCCGGCUGGUGGACAAUGUCAGGCGGGGAGUUUGACUGGGGCGGUCGCCUCCGAAAGGGUAUCGGAGGCGC